AUUGAACGCUGGCGGCAGGCCUAACACAUGCAAGUCGAGCGGAUGAAGGGAGCUUGCUCCUGGAGUCAGCGGCGGACGGGUGAGUAAUGCCUAGGAAUCUGCCUGGUAGUGGGGGAUAACGUCCGGAAACGGGCGCUAAUACCGCAUACGUCCUGAGGGAGAAAGUGGGGGAUCUUCGGACCUCACGCUAUCAGAUGAGCCUAGGUCGGAUUAGCUAGUUGGUGGGGUAAAGGCCUACCAAGGCGACGAUCCGUAACUGGUCUGAGAGGAUGAUCAGUCACACUGGAACUGAGACACGGUCCAGACUCCUACGGGAGGCAGCAGUGGGGAAUAUUGGACAAUGGGCGAAAGCCUGAUCCAGCCAUGCCGCGUGUGGGAAGAAGGUCUUCGGAUUGUAAAGCACUUUAAGUUGGGAGGAAGGGCAGUAAGUUAAUACCUUGCUGUUUUGACGUUACCAACAGAAUAAGCACCGGCUAACUUCGUG
This 484-nucleotide ribosomal RNA is filed under the name uncultured bacterium. RNAcentral describes it as "partial 16S ribosomal RNA". It matches the Rfam family "Bacterial small subunit ribosomal RNA", at positions 30 to 507 of the family's 1533-position model. The record is from RNAcentral.